Molecule: ribosomal RNA, 253 nt
Filed under: uncultured bacterium
Lineage: Bacteria
Description: partial 16S ribosomal RNA
Rfam family: Bacterial small subunit ribosomal RNA
Source: RNAcentral
UACGAAGGGGGCUAGCGUUGCUCGGAAUCACUGGGCGUAAAGCGCACGUAGGCGGCUUUCUAAGUCAGGGGUGAAAUCCUGGAGCUCAACUCCAGAACUGCCUUUGAUACUGGAGAGCUAGAGUCCGGAAGAGGUGAGUGGAACUGCGAGUGUAGAGGUGAAAUUCGUAGAUAUUCGCAAGAACACCAGUGGCGAAGGCGGCUCACUGGUCCGGUACUGACGCUGAGGCGCGAAAGCGUGGGGAGCAAACAGG